AGAUACUGCAGCCUGCUGGAGUGAAAAGGUGCCACUGUGUGUGGGCAGGUGCCUGAAGCCUUCUGAUAAGCAGAAUUGUCCUGUGUCUGAGCUAGAUGUCACCUCCUCUGCUUUUCCCUAGAAAUUCUCCAGGAAGAUCAGGAAUGCACUGAAAGCCAGUAAGUGCUGGUUCGUUUUGGUCUCCAUGACGCACACGAGCUAGGGCAGAGCUGAGCAGCUGCAGUGAACCCACUGCUGAGCUGGGCCAAUAGAUUGCUCCAUCCUCCAAGCAGAUGUUUCUCUUUUACACUCCUGGAGCUCUUGCAGACCAUAUCCCUUCCCAAGAGAAAACACCAGCACAGUUGGAAGCUGGGAGGGCUCAUCUCAACAACAGAAGCAAGGUGCCAGCAGCAUCAGCCACAGUUUGUUAAUAAAAAUCCAUGAACAGAACAGCAACUGCAUUUUGUUUUAGCUUGUUUAAAAGAAAACCCACAUGAAAAACACUUUUUCUUCUCUGUGUGGCCCUCUUAGUUGUAGUGUUUCUUUGUCCUAUAGUAAUAGAGUUCUGUGUGAGACAAGAGGAAAUUAAUCUCUUGCUAUUUGCCUCACUGUUGCUCUGUCAGUCAUAAAAUGAGAGAGAAAACAGUUUGUGUAAAUAUUCAUUGUUAAAAUCCACAUCACAUGUAAUAAUUGAUACUCUGACUGUGCCUAGGUAAAAAUAAGGAGAACUCCAU
Zonotrichia leucophrys gambelii is the source of this 713-nucleotide long non-coding RNA. RefSeq lists it as uncharacterized. Lineage: Eukaryota; Metazoa; Chordata; Aves; Passeriformes; Passerellidae. The transcript has 3 exons. The record is from RefSeq and is a predicted model, not a curated record.